GACGAACGCUGGCGGCGUGCCUAAUACAUGCAAGUCGAGCGGACCACUUCGGUGGUCAGCGGCGGACGGGUGAGUAACACGUGGGCAACCUGCCUGUAAGACUGGGAUAACACCGGGAAACCGGUGCUAAUACCGGAUAAUCCUUCUCUUCUCAUGAAGAGAAGCUGAAAGACGGUUUCGGCUGUCACUUACAGAUGGGCCCGCGGCGCAUUAGCUAGUUGGUGAGGUAACGGCUCACCAAGGCAACGAUGCGUAGCCGACCUGAGAGGGUGAUCGGCCACACUGGGACUGAGACACGGCCCAGACCCCUACGGGAGGCAGCAGUAGGGAAUCUUCCGCAAUGGACGAAAGUCUGACGGAGCAACGCCGCGUGAGCGAUGAAGGCCUUCGGGUCGUAAAGCUCUGUUGUCAGGGAAGAACAAGUACCGGAGUAACUGCCGGUACCUUGACGGUACCUGACCAGAAAGCCACGGCUAACUACGUGCCAGCCGCCGCAGUAA
Molecule: ribosomal RNA, 500 nt
Filed under: uncultured bacterium
Lineage: Bacteria
Description: partial 16S ribosomal RNA
Rfam family: Bacterial small subunit ribosomal RNA
Source: RNAcentral